RNAcentral lists this ribosomal RNA (1244 nucleotides) under Pseudorobillarda bolusanthi. Its description in RNAcentral is "partial 28S ribosomal RNA". It matches the Rfam family "Eukaryotic large subunit ribosomal RNA", at positions 68 to 1445 of the family's 3401-position model. Lineage: Eukaryota; Fungi; Ascomycota; Dothideomycetes; Pleosporales. The record is from RNAcentral.
ACAGGGAUUGCCUUAGUAACGGCGAGUGAAGCGGCAAUAGCUCAGAUUUGAAAUCUGGUCCUUUCAGGGCCCGAGUUGUAAUCUGUAGAGGAUGCUUCGGCGUUGGCUCCGGCCUAAGUUCCUUGGAACAGGACGUCACAGAGGGUGAGAAUCCCGUACGUGGCUGGUCUCCUUCGCCAUGUGAAGCUCCUUCGACGAGUCGAGUUGUUUGGGAAUGCAGCUCUAAAUGGGAGGUAAAUUUCUUCUAAAGCUAAAUAUCUGCCAGAGACCGAUAGCGCACAAGUAGAGUGAUCGAAAGAUGAAAAGCACUUUGGAAAGAGAGUUAAAUAGCACGUGAAAUUGUUGAAAGGGAAGCGUUUGCAAUCAGACUUGCCCGCGAUGGCUUAUCCGAGCUUCUGGCUCGGUGCACUCCUUCGCGGUCAGGCCAGCAUCAGUUCGGGCGGUUGGAUAAAGAUUUUGGGAAUGUGGCUCCUCUCGGGGAGUGUUAUAGCCCAGAAUGCAAUGCAGCCUGCCUGGACUGAGGUCCGCGCUUUUGCUAGGAUGCUGGCGUAAUGGUUGUAAACGACCCGUCUUGAAACACGGACCAAGGAGUCUAACAUCUAUGCGAGUGUUUGGGUGAAAAACCCAUGCGCGUAAUGAAAGUGAACGGAGGUAGGAACCCGUAAGGGCGCACUAUCGACCGAUCCUGAUGUCUUCGGAUGGAUUUGAGUAAGAGCAUAGCUGUUGGGACCCGAAAGAUGGUGAACUAUGCGUGGGUAGGGUGAAGCCAGAGGAAACUCUGGUGGAGGCUCGCAGCGGUUCUGACGUGCAAAUCGAUCGUCAAACCUGCGCAUAGGGGCGAAAGACUAAUCGAACCAUUGAACACUACUAGGUGGUUUAGAGGCAGCUAAAAGGGCUUGCCUAGUCCCUCCAUUCGGGGCAACAUCGUCAAAUUGCGGGGACGUCCUGAGAGCUUAAACUACCGCGGCCGGUCGAAAGACACGGUGCAGCACCGGGGUAAUGACCUAGGGUAUGGUAAAAACGUUUAAGAUUGGAUAAUCCGCAGCCAAGUCCUACGUCUCUUUGUAGAUAUGGAUGCAGUUCACAGACUAGAUGGCGAUGGGUGUGACACGCGGUCAUGCUUAAGAUAUAGUCGAUACCUCGUGGAGACACGAGCAGUAGGCCAAAGUCCACUGGACGGAUGGGCACUCUUAUAGGGUGCUUCCGGCGGACCCGAAGCCUUACUGGGGAGUACUCUAUAGUAU